GAAAAAUACAGCAGGAAUAGCUCACAAUAAAUCAAUAAAGAUAUAGCAGCAACACAUUACUGGUUAAACUGUGUGCUUGAAAAAAACACUGUAGUGAUAGAAAAAGUGCUUCUUGGAAAUCCAAAAGAAUUUUAUUUAGUCAAGUAAAAUCAACAUAAAUCCUUAGACAAGUAAUAUAAUAAAGGAGGUACCAACAGUAGCUUAAGAUGUGCUGCAUGUCAGCUGCUUGGAAGUUUUCCCGAUGGAUGGGGAAAGUGAGAGCUGCAGUCCUCGCUGUGUGUGGU
This is a non-coding RNA of Pelobates cultripes (western spadefoot toad), 284 nucleotides long. NCBI's taxonomy places the organism in Eukaryota, Metazoa, Chordata, Amphibia, Anura, Pelobatidae. The record is from the annotation of a GenBank genome assembly.